AUUUCUUCGGACACUAAUACAGGUGGUGCGUGGUUGUUGUCAGCUCCUGUCGUGAAUGUUGGGUUAAGUCCCCCAACCAGGAGCACCCCUAUUUUUAAUUGCCAGCAUUUCGGAUGGGAACUAUAGACAGACUGCCGAUAAGAAAUCGGAGGAAGGUGGGGAUGACGUCAAAACAUCAUGCCCCAUAUGUCCUGGGCUACACACGUGCUACAAUGGUCGUUACAAAGAGCAGCUACACAGUGAUGUCACGCGAAUCUCAAAAAGGCGAUCUCAGUUCGGAUUGUACUCUGCAACUCGCGUACAUGAAGUCGGAGUUGCUAGUAAUCGCAAAUCAGAAUGUUGCGGUGAAUGCGUUCCCGCGUCUUGUAAAACACGCA
Molecule: ribosomal RNA, 377 nt
Filed under: uncultured Tissierellia bacterium
Lineage: Bacteria; Bacillati; Bacillota; Tissierellia
Description: bacterial SSU rRNA
Rfam family: Bacterial small subunit ribosomal RNA
Source: RNAcentral